CGCGGCCUAUCAGCUUGUUGGUGAGGUAAUGGCUCACCAAGGCGACGACGGGUAGCCGGCCUGAGAGGGUGAUCGGCCACACUGGGACUGAGACACGGCCCAGACUCCUACGGGAGGCAGCAGUGGGGAAUAUUGCACAAUGGGCGAAAGCCUGAUGCAGCGACGCCGCGUGGGGGAUGACAGUCUUCGGAUUGUAAACCCCUUUCAGUAGGGACGAAGCGCAAGUGACGGUACCUGCAGAAGAAGCACCGGCCAACUACGUGCCAGCAGCCGCGGUAAUACGUAGGGUGCGAGCGUUGUCCGGAAUUACUGGGCGUAAAGAGCUCGUAGGCGGUUUGUCACGUCGUCUGUGAAAUCCUCCAGCUUAACUGGGGGCGUGCAGGCGAUACGGGCAGACUUGAGUACUACAGGGGAGACUGGAAUUCCUGGUGUAGCGGUGAAAUGCGCAGAUAUCAGGAGGAACACCGGUGGCGAAGGCGGGUCUCUGGGUAGUAACUGACGCUGAGGAGCGAAAGCAUGGGUAGCGAACAGGAUUAGAUACCCUGGUAGUCCAUGCCGUAAACGGUGGGCGCUAGGUGUGGGGUCCUUCCACGGACUCCGUGCCGUAGCUAACGCAUUAAGCGCCCCGCCUGGGGAGUACGG
This 642-nucleotide ribosomal RNA is filed under the name uncultured Actinomycetes bacterium. RNAcentral's name for it is "bacterial SSU rRNA". It matches the Rfam family "Bacterial small subunit ribosomal RNA", at positions 232 to 885 of the family's 1533-position model. The record is from RNAcentral. Lineage: Bacteria; Bacillati; Actinomycetota; Actinomycetes.